UGAAUUGUUGAUUCUAGAGAUUAGCACACAAACGCUGAAAACAUUUUAGGAUCAAGUGUUAUAUUGUAUGUUCUUGUACCACCAUAAACAUCAGCUAAACUUUAUUAUCGGAUUUUAUGUAAUGCUCUUUAGGAAUGUGGAAUUACCUUUAAUUCGGUAAAUAAUUUACUGUGCAUACAUUCAAUUUCCGUGGCUCUGAUGUAUUUUCUAUAUUUUAAAGGUUAUUCGGAUUUAAGGCAUUUCGACAACGAUGGAGCAGGAGGAUGGAACUAAGUGUGUUGACUUUGAAAGACUAUCUAGCAGAAAGCGGAGAGGAUCUGAUGAUGAAGUUGAUGAACCUAACAGUAAACAUAAGAAGCUGCGAUCAAGUUCUCCAAAUGCAGAUGACAGUGGAAAAGAGAAGAAACCAGAGACAAAUGAAACAGAAUUAAGCUCUGAAAUUAGAGAAGAGGAAUCUUCAUGCGAAUUAACUUCUCUUAAAGAAGAAAGCAAUGAAGUGGAAAACUAUAUUCGACUUAGUACAGGUUCAGAUGAUGAACCUGAGGGAAAACAUAAGAAGAUGGUAUCUAGUUCUCCAGACGUAGAUAACAGUCAAAACGACAACAAAAAAGAUGCAAAUGAGAUAGAAGCCGUCUCUCAAGUUACAGAGGAAGAAUCUACUUUUGAUUUAACUUCUGUCACAGAAGAAAGCAAUGACGCGGAAGUGUCUAAUCAAAUCAGCACCUUUGAAAAGGAAAUUGGUGUGUCUGCAAAUUUUAAAAGUACAUCUCUUCAUGAUGACAAUGAAGAUGAAUAUUUUUCCAACAACGAAGAGGAAGAUGGUAUCGUAUUAUAUGAGAGGUCUACUGAAUAUAACUUUGAAAGAACGGAAUCAGAAUCAGGCGCAAGCACAAGAUCCGAAAAUGAUGAAAUGCUGAGAAAUGAAUACGUUUAUAGGUUGCUACGCUUCAAUGAACCGCACAAUGAAGGUCUUCGUCCAAAACUUAUUUCUUCAAGAAUAACCCUAGAAGAACACGUUAAAAACGGAAGCAAGGGCACUUGCUCUCGGUUCAUUUCCUGCUGUGAAACCAUGAAUGGUUUGAAUCGAUUGAUUGGUCUCACAAAUGAAUCUUCGCGCGUGCGUGAAGUGGUGCGCAUCAAUAUUACGAAACUAAAAGAUUUUGAAGAUGUCACAAUCAUAAAAUUGACUGACGAAAAUGUAAGGAAGGAGCACAUUGAGCGAAACUCCAAACCGUGGGAAUAUGCCGAGAAAUUUGAGGAAGUCGUGUUGGCCCCAAGAUCGCAUGUCCCUGCAGACUGUGUCGAAAGAAUUGGAUUUGUUCAACACAGAACAUUUACUAAAGAUGAACACAUUACUCUUUAACUGUUUUUUUUGUCACUUUAUCAUUUUAUAUAUUUUUACAUUUUUUUUUAUUUGAGAUUGUGUAUUAAAAAGUGUUACACAUUAGAUAUCAAAUCUAAUUUUUAAUUUGAUUGGUUUUUUUAUUUGAUCUUCGAUUUCCUAAGCAUUAGGGCAUAUAGGUUAUGACUGAUAUAGAAUAAUCUAACUAGCACAUAAUAUGAUCAGAAUAGAUGAAAAUUAGCAUGGCAGAUAUUAAAUAAAACACUUGAGUUGUUGUAAUCAUAUACAGGUGUGAUUCUGAAAGAUAAUCCAUAACAGUUAAAUAAUUUGAAUGAUAUGUAGAAACAAAGAGCUUGUGAUAGAUUUUUUUUUAUUCAAACGAGCCUACUUUCACUUUCCUUUCUUAAAAAGAUGAUGUGUAAUUUUGCAGUUUCAUUUUGAAUUCCCAGAACGUCUUGCAGUUUCAUUUUGAAUUCCCAGAACUUGAGAUGAAAUAGUUUUUUCACUGUUAUUGUGUCUUUUAACGAGGAACUUUAUCAGUAAGUGUGUGGAUAUAGUCUAUUCCGUUUUCUCUGCAAGUCUUAGUUACAGUUUAAAAUGUCCCACGUGCCCAAGUGGAUCGCCGAGUUUACCAUAAAAGAUUGCAAUGAAUGUGCAGAUAAAAAGCAAGAACAGAAAGCAAAGAGGGCUGAGAGAUAUAAGGCUAGAACUGAUCGGGCCACCGCUAUUGCGAAAAACCAAGAAAAAAGAUUGCUUGGACUUUUUUCUACGACAGCACAGAACGACAAACAUAAUUCUAUUCCACUAACGAGAAAGCGGAAAGGCCCUCAACAUGAUGAUGAACAACUUCAUCAACGUAAGAAGCUAAGAUCCAGUUCUCGAAAGACGAAUAAAAGAGGAAUUGAUAUCACAACAGGUUCCGCCGAUUCAAGUAGUACAUCUUUUUUUAUUAACAAGAAGAAGGUUGGUUUAUCUAGAAAUCAAAUUAAAGAAGAUAUUGUUGUACAUGGAAGCGAAAUUGAAAAAGCGCAAGAGAUAUCACAACUAGACAAAAGCCGGGAAAAUGCAACAGGUUCCGCUGAUUCAAGUGGUACGACGUCUUAUUGUUUGAACGAGGAGGUUGUUUUAUCCAGCAACCAAGUUGAAGAAGAAUUUGGUUUAAAUAAAAACGAAAUUGGAACACCAGUAGAGGCACCACAACCAGACGAAAGUUGCGAUAAUGCAGAUGUCGAAAAAGACGAAUAUGUAUAUAGGUUACAACGUUUUCACGAAACCCACCGGCAAGGGCUUUAUCCCAAAGAUAUCUGGUCAAGAACAAGUCUGAGGAAGCACGUUGAAAGAGGGAGUAAGGGAGUUACAUCACGGUUCAUAUCCUGCUGCAAAACACUUGUUGAUUUACAAUGCCUUGGAGGCAUUACUAAUGAAUCUACUCGCGUUCGGGAGGUAGUGCGUAUCAACAUUACGAAGCUGAAAAACUAUCAUGACGUUACUGUGAUAGAUCUUACUGACGAGACUGUACGAGGGAAACACAUAAAUCGUUCAUCAGAGGCAUGGAGAUUUGCAUCAAGAUUUAACGAAGUCAUCCUAGAACCAAGAACACACGUACCAGCUGACUGCGUCGAAAAGAUUGGAAUUGUUCUGCACAGAAAGUUUAUUAAAGACGAACACAUUAUUCUCUGACUUUUGAAUAUUAUUUUUUUUAUCUCGAUUGAGUGUGUACAUUGAUUUAAGAUUAUUUUGAUUUUUUUUAGUAAAAGAACUUUAGCUCAAAGAA
Molecule: RNA transcript, 3116 nt
Organism: Magallana angulata
Lineage: Eukaryota; Metazoa; Mollusca; Bivalvia; Ostreida; Ostreidae
Exons: 7
Source: RefSeq, a predicted model, not a curated record